UACGUAGGGGGCAAGCGUUGUCCGGAUUUAUUGGGCGUAAAGAGCGUGUAGGCGGCCUGGUAGGUCAGCUGUGAAAACUCGAGGCUCAACCUCGAGACGCCGGUUGAAACCAUCAGGCUAGAGUCCGGAAGAGGAGAGUGGAAUUCCCGGUGUAGCGGUGAAAUGCGCAGGUAUCGGGAAGAACACCCGUGGCUAAGGCGGCUCUCUAGUACGGUACUGACGCUGAGACGCGAAAGCGUGGGGAGCGAACAGG
RNAcentral lists this ribosomal RNA (253 nucleotides) under uncultured bacterium. RNAcentral's name for it is "partial 16S ribosomal RNA". It matches the Rfam family "Bacterial small subunit ribosomal RNA", at positions 524 to 776 of the family's 1533-position model. The record is from RNAcentral.